GUGGGGAAUAUUGGACAAUGGGCGCAAGCCUGAUCCAGCCAUGCCGCGUGAGUGAUGAAGGCCUUAGGGUUGUAAAGCUCUUUCACCGGUGAAGAUAAUGACGGUAACCGGAGAAGAAGCCCCGGCUAACUUCGUGCCAGCAGCCGCGGUAAUACGAAGGGGGCUAGCGUUGUUCGGAAUUACUGGGCGUAAAGCGCACGUAGGCUGAUAUUUAAGUCUGGGGUGAAAUCCCGGGGCUCAACCCCGGAACUGCCUUUGAUACUGGGUAUCUUGAGUAUGGAAGAGGUCAGUGGAAUUGCGAGUGUAGAGGUGAAAUACGUAGAGAUUCGGAGGAACACCAGUGGCGAAGGCGGCUCACUGGCUGGAUACUGACGCUGAGGUGCGAAAGCGUGGGGAGCAAACAGGAUUAGAAACCCCAGUAGUCC
RNAcentral lists this ribosomal RNA (425 nucleotides) under uncultured bacterium. RNAcentral describes it as "partial 16S ribosomal RNA". It matches the Rfam family "Bacterial small subunit ribosomal RNA", at positions 354 to 796 of the family's 1533-position model. The record is from RNAcentral.